Molecule: long non-coding RNA, 360 nt
Organism: Papilio machaon (common yellow swallowtail)
Lineage: Eukaryota; Metazoa; Arthropoda; Insecta; Lepidoptera; Papilionidae
Exons: 3
Source: RefSeq, a predicted model, not a curated record
UUUGGAGAAAGACGCGGUCAAUCGUCAACGCAAUGUGGCAGAUGUCAUCGCGAGCGGAGCUUCCAGUGUGGAGAAGUUCUACUCCGGUACCAAUGUGUUUGUCACCGGUGGCUCCGGUUUCCUCGGGAAACAGCUGCUUGAGAAAUUAUUCAGAUGCUGUAACGUGAAUAAAGUUUAUUUAUUAUUGCGUACGAAAAAGGGAAAAACUGCACAGCAGCGAGUUAAGCAAAUUCUAGAAGACCCGGUAUUUGAUAGUUUGCACAACCAAAAACCAAAGUUUGCAGACAAUGUAUUAGCAGUUUCUGGUGACGUCAGCGAAUUGAAGCUUGGACUAAGCGCGUCUGAUUGGGAUCUUAUUAC